UGCUUUGAUUAACAUCUCGAUUUCAAUUCAAAAUCUAAAGAAUUUCACGCUCCAAACACUGAUCGCUCGUCUUUUAAAAUUCUCCCCUUUCUCUUUAAAAAAAAAAAUAAUUGACAGUCAUUUAACAAAUGUCAAAAAAAUUUUUGGUUAAUGUUUUGAAUAAAUUGAAGGUAAAUAGGGAAAUGUUUUAUUGUGGUUAUAAGGAGAGAAUUAUGAGGUUUAUUGACUGGCUAGAUGAAAAACGCCUCCACUGUGUCUAGUCUAUACUCGUGCCUAUAUAUGAUUGAAAGGAACGCCCGCAGGCUUUUCAAACAUCGUUAUACGAGCGAGUCACCCUUGAACCUCGUUACACGCAGUCGUCUCAACACCUUCGGCUUUUGAAACGCGUUGUAAACGCACGUGCCACAAAUAACAAAAUAACCCUCUCUUUUGUCUGCAACUAUUAAAGACGCCAAUUAACAUGAAAAAACUUCAGGGCAAAAGAAAUCGAUUAGGUCAGCCUAUAAAGUGUCCAGGAUUAUGUAAUUCAUUAAAUGAAAAUAUAAUUGAUACUAAUACAUCAGAAAUAAAUCAUGAUUGUAAAAAUAGAAAAAAACAAUUGAUAAUUUUACGACGAUUACCAGAGAAUUUGAAAAAUAUUCAAAAAAUCAAGAAAACUGGAUGUUUCAUUCAUUAUAUGAAAAUUUUCUUUUUUUACAUUAUUUUACAUUCAUUAAUUGCUGCAUUUAUUCGACAUCAUAAAUAUUAUCCACAUUUUCUUGCUGCACAACUUUGUGGCUUAUUGACAAUUUCAUUGUUUCCCAUUUUGAACAGAUGUCGAAAUUGCAGUUAAUUCUUGAAUGUAUAUAUAUAAUACCAGAUAUAUAUAAUUCUUGUUAAAGUUUAUAUCAUUUAAAUAUAUACAUUCAUCUCUA
Leptopilina boulardi is the source of this 914-nucleotide long non-coding RNA. RefSeq lists it as uncharacterized. The record is from RefSeq and is a predicted model, not a curated record. NCBI's taxonomy places the organism in Eukaryota, Metazoa, Arthropoda, Insecta, Hymenoptera, Figitidae. The transcript is spliced from 3 exons.